GCCCCCAUAGCUUAACCCCAAAGCAUGGCACUGAAGAUGCCAAGAUG
Molecule: transfer RNA, 47 nt
Filed under: Gallus sonneratii (gray junglefowl)
Lineage: Eukaryota; Metazoa; Chordata; Aves; Galliformes; Phasianidae
Description: partial tRNA-Phe
Source: RNAcentral